GGAAUGGUUUAUGUUUCAAAUAAUUUAUUGCCGUAGGAUGGGACUGCGGCCUAUCAGUUUGUUGGUGAGGUAAUGGCCCACCAAGACUAUUACAGGUACGGGCUCUGAGAGGAGUAGCCCGGAGAUGGGUACUGAGACACGGACCCAGGCCCUAUGGGGCGCAGCAGGCGAGAAAACUUUGCAAUGUGCGAAAGCACGACAAGGUUAAUCCGAGUGGUUUCUGCUAAAGGAACCUUUUGUCAGUCCUAGAAACACUGAUGAAUAAGGGGUGGGCAAGUUCUGGUGUCAGCCGCCGCGGUAAAACCAGCACCUCAAGUGGUCAGGAUGAUUAUUGGGCCUAAAGCAUCCGUAGCCUGCUUUGUAAGUUUUCGGUUAAAUCCAUACGCUCAACGUAUGGGCUGCCGGGAAUACUGCAAAGCUAGGGAGUGGGAGAGGUAGACGGUACUCGGUAGGAAGGGGUAAAAUCCUUUGAUCUAUUGAUGACCACCUGUGGCGAAGGCGGUCUACCAGAACACGUCCGACGGUGAGGGAUGAAAGCUGGGGGAGCAAACCGGAUUAGAUACCC
RNAcentral lists this ribosomal RNA (565 nucleotides) under uncultured archaeon. RNAcentral describes it as "bacterial SSU rRNA". It matches the Rfam family "Archaeal small subunit ribosomal RNA", at positions 172 to 738 of the family's 1478-position model. The record is from RNAcentral.